Molecule: small RNA, 825 nt
Filed under: Pan troglodytes (chimpanzee)
Lineage: Eukaryota; Metazoa; Chordata; Mammalia; Primates; Hominidae
Description: retained intron
Source: RNAcentral
CCUCUUCUGGAUCCCGGGACGCUCCCCUUAGUUUCAGGACUCCUGACUCCCAGGCCCCCAUUUCCACCGUCUGGGGACUCCUUUUCCCCUCACUCGGACUCAGGAGUUCACUGCCUCGGAUCUUUGGCCCUCUGCGGCUGUUCAAAGAGUCGGGCGCUGCUGUCUGUGAAUUCUUUUUGAAAGCUGCCUGCGGCAAAGGGGGCAUGUGUCCGUUUCGCCACAUCAGUGGUGAGAAGACAGUUGUGUGCAAACACUGGCUGCGUGGCCUAUGCAAGAAAGGGGACCAGUGUGAGUUCCUGCAUGAGUAUGACAUGACCAAGAUGCCCGAGUGCUACUUCUACUCCAAGUUCGGGGAGUGCAGCAACAAGGAAUGUCCCUUCCUGCACAUCGACCCCGAGUCCAAGAUCAAGGACUGUCCUUGGUAUGACCGCGGCUUCUGCAAGCACGGUCCCCUCUGCAGGCACCGGCACACACGGAGAGUCAUCUGUGUGAAUUACCUCGUGGGAUUCUGCCCAGAGGGGCCCUCGUGUAAAUUCAUGCAGUGAGUAGCCAGCCGCUCCGCCCUCUACCCCAGCUCCCAGCCCAGGCCCUGCUGCCCUCCGUAUCUUCCCUGGGCCAACUGGGCCUUGGUCACUGGGUGAUGUCAGUACCAGGGCCAAGGGUGGGGGCAGGAGAUGGGGAAGUAAUCCCUGCUUAUGGCCACCAAUGCUUCCUGAGCCCACAGGUGGCUCUGCCUAGACCAGCAGCUGAUCUUUCUUGGGUCAUGGGCCAUCUGGUAAUGUAAUGGAAGCUGUGGGAUACAGACAAACAUGUAGCCUUGCAUAU